Bos taurus (domestic cattle) is the source of this 69-nucleotide non-coding RNA. NCBI's taxonomy places the organism in Eukaryota, Metazoa, Chordata, Mammalia, Artiodactyla, Bovidae. The record is from Rfam.
CCUGGUGGCUCAGAUGGUAAAGAAUCUGCCUGCAAAGCAGGAGACCUGGGUUCAAUCCCUGGGUCAGGA